GACGAACCGUGCGAACGUUGUUCGGAAUCACUGGGCAUAAAGGGCGCGUAGGCGGCUUAUCAGGUCAGAGGUGAAAUCCGGCAGCUCAACUGUCGAAGUGCCUUUGAUACUGACGAGCUCGAGGGAGGUAGGGGUGUGCGGAACUUCCGGUGGAGCGGUGAAAUGCGUUGAUAUCGGAAGGAACGCCGGUGGCGAAAGCGGCGCACUGGACCUCUUCUGACGCUGAGGCGCGAAAGCCAGGGGAGCAAACGGG
RNAcentral lists this unclassified non-coding RNA (253 nucleotides) under uncultured Planctomycetia bacterium. RNAcentral's name for it is "contains 16S-23S intergenic spacer region". It matches the Rfam family "Bacterial small subunit ribosomal RNA", at positions 524 to 776 of the family's 1533-position model. Lineage: Bacteria; Pseudomonadati; Planctomycetota; Planctomycetia. The record is from RNAcentral.